RNAcentral lists this ribosomal RNA (216 nucleotides) under uncultured eukaryote. Its description in RNAcentral is "partial small subunit ribosomal RNA". It matches the Rfam family "Eukaryotic small subunit ribosomal RNA", at positions 1296 to 1461 of the family's 1831-position model. The record is from RNAcentral.
AGUUGGUGGCGUGAGUUGUCUGGUUGAUUCCGUUAACGAACGAGACCUUGACUUACUAAAUAGCUGGCGGAAGAUAUAGCAUCAAAGCCGUAGGCCGGUAUUUUCGGAAGGAUCCGUUCCCCGUGAAUAGUUGUGCUUGCGGCUGCUUUUUUUCCGUAAAGUUUCUUAGAGGGACUAUUGGUAACAAGCCAAUGGAAGUUCGAGGCAAAAACAGGU